GGAUCGAACACUGGGAAGGGUUUUUACUUUAACUGGUGAAGUUCGGAGGAUGGAGUGAACUUUUCUUAAUAAAAAUUAGGUUAAGAUGAAAACAUAAAAAGAUGAAGGCGUUGUAAACUAAACUAACAUGAAAAUAGGUUAAAAGAUGGAAAAAGAAGUUUCUCAAAGCUUUGGAUAGCCAUGCUUAACUCACUGUGUAAAAAUGGAGAUUUUGGGACUCUUCACCUCGAGUUGGGGAAGCAACUAAGGUGAUGCUUACUUCCCGAACCGGUAUGAGUUUAACAACUGAGUUUUAGUCCUUGAAAACUUACAAAAAGGGUAGCUGAACCUCAUAAAUGCUCUUUUAUUAGUAUAGGUCAUCUCCUCGACUUGCAAUACAAUGGCUCGUAGGAGAUAAUUAAUGAACGUCAGUGGAUCUAACAAUAAGAAUCCACUGAGACCAAAAGGUUAUCAAGUAUUGGCCAUUCAAAGCAAGUUAGAGGGAUUAAAAGCUUUACUUUGAAUGAAAACAUUUAUGACGCUUAGCUACUUACAUUUAUGGCUUGGAAAUCUUCAUCGUGACACGGGAGCUUCACAUGGCAUCCAUUACUUCAAGAAACUAAAAGGAUUUAGCCUUUCAUCCUUGGGGAUUUCAUCCUCCAAGGAUGUUUGGCUACUAAGAAAAUGAGAAAGAAAAGAGAAAAGAAGCGUAUGAACAGAAGUGCUCUUAUAACUUAUAAAGUUACAGGUUACAAGAUGAUCGUGUCUGAGGCUCUUCACCUCUAUUUAAAGACAAUAAAAAGCUAAAUUACAAGAGCUAUUACAAAAGCAACCUUUUCAUUGGUUGAUUACAAGGGUAAAAUAGAUUUUUACAAAGCUAAAAGUCAAGCAAAAUAUCUUGGAGAACCGGCAGUGGAAUAUCAUCAACAGCGUCUCAAAACAGGGGAUUUCAAAGGCAUUUCGCAAAGGGGGGGAGGGGGAGGGGAAGAUGAAAGGUCCAAAUUUUGCAAGGUGCCUAAAUCCAGCUUGCGAAAUUUCGCAAGGUGGUUUCUUCAUGGUGCGAAAUGGCCAAAUUUCGCACCAUGAGGAAAAUCCCCUUGCGAAAUUUUGGCAAGGCGAAAUUCACCUUGCGAAAUGGUGUUCCCAUUGCUUGUGCUCGUGUUUCCACUUGAAAUUCAAGCCUGUAAACGUCCAAAAUCCUUGCUUAACUCACCCAAGUAGCUCCUCCAUCAAUUGGUAUGCUUGAAUUGGUUCAUAAGCUGAUGAAAAACAUGUAAACUUGCCACUAAAAAUGGUUAGAACUAAUUACUAAGGAGCUUAAUGAAUUAAUUGGGUUAAAUGAAUAUGAUUACUACACAAAGGUGCUUAAAACCCUUAUAAUUAGGUCUACAAAAUAGCACUUUUUGGUAGUAAUCACACCCCCCAACCGACUCAUUGCUAGUCCCUUAGCAAUGGAGGAGAUAAAAACUAAGCAAACAUAAUAAUAUACAUAAAAGAGGUCAUGCAAAUCACUCCAAAAAAUAAUUGAGUGGCAUGACUGAUAUCAAAACACAUCUCACAUGGUGAACUAAAGAUAUGAAGAUUCAAAAUGCAAUAGGAGUUGUCAAAGCUAAAACUUAAACAAAAAGUACAAAGAGUGGAGAUUAUGCAAUUAAGUAUCAAAAGAAUCUCUACUCUCAAGGUUCCGAAUCAAACUCUUCCAUAAUGAGCUAAGUGUUAAUGAGAUUAGCUUCCAGAUAUAGUAUGUACAACUAUCCUCUCCCCCCAACCUAAGCUUUUCUCGAACUUUGGCAAAAUUAACCAACUCUUAAUAGGUUAGGAACGCACCUUCUUAUUCACAAUUCUUUUUAUUCACUAAACUUAACCAAUUCACCUAUGUAGCAAGCAGAGGAUCGAUGACUCCCAACCAAUCAGGGUUUAGGGCAUCGGGUUUUAAAGGCUUUCGCCACCCAUUCGGAUCAUGCUUAGGUUUCAAGGAAAGAAUAGAAGCUUAUUCUCUUUUUUUUUUUUUUUUUUUUUUUUUUUUAAGACUCAUUGGUCUUUUUGAGGUGUCCCAACACUAUUAAAAAGAGGUUAAGUAAUGAACCAAGUCAAAAUUUUCCUAAGCUUAAAGGGUGAGAAAGUUUUACAUCAUAUAUCCGAGAUCUAAUGUGCACGGUGUGUGUAAAGCUUGAAAUGGAAGAAAAAAGUUCGAAAUCAAAGAGGGUUUCAAUAGAUUAUCAACUUUGAAAGCAUAAAACAAACUCUAAGACUUAAGUAAUUAAGUUAAAACUCGACUUAUCCUAUUUUAUUUUGAGAAAUUAUCUUUAACAACCAUAGAGAAUGAAACAAAAAUUUUUGAAAAAGGUCAAAAACUACUAAAUCAACAAAAUAACUAACUAAAAUAGGAAAUACUUACUUCCUCAACUCUCCCCCCAACCGAGAUGAACAUUGUCCCCAAUGUUUCUAUCGAAAAAGACGAGGAAGGAAUGAUAUACCUUAUGGUGAUGUGGUAUUCAAGGCGUGUGAGUGCAUCCACAUGAUUCAAAAACCAUAAGAAACGUGAGAGAGGAAAUAAGAUACAAAAAAUGAUGCUUAUAUAAACUGAGAGAGUUGAGUACAAGAUAUAAGCAUGAGGUACAUACAAUCUCAGAAUAUAAAACAUGUAUCAUAUACAAAAUGGAGAUAGAAAUAUCCAAUCAUGGAUGUGGCUCCUGAGGUGGAGGAGGUGAUAUGCCCAGGUGAUGGUGGAUCUGAGAGAGCAUGGCGGAGUGCUGGUCCAGGAUAGCUGUAUGCUGAGCCUGAAUAGAUGUAUGCUGAGCCUGAUGUGUCUGUAUGGUAUCCAUCUGUCGUCUGAUGGCCUGCAUCUCACGGACUAAGGUGGCCUGAGAGGUGCUCAAUGAGUGAAAGGACGACAUGAGAGCUCUGAACUCUGUAGCGGAGACAGCAAUGGAUGGCCCGGCUGAAGACUCAGCAUAGGCUGGAGCAGGAGUGACUGGUGGUGUGGGAGUAUCAGUAGUGCAAGUCACUAGAGCAGGUACUGAAGAAGAAGGCUCUGUGGUAUGUGGGUCCUGCUCUGGUGAUGUCUGUGCUGUAGGUGCUGAGGUUGCUGGAGAAUCGGGAGGCGCUGGAGAAGCUGGAGGCGCGGGAGCUAAUGGUCUAGGGAUACCCUAGUCCAUGGGUGAGAGGUCUAAGAAAUGGGUCCAACUCUCACUGGUAAAGAGCUCUCGACAAUGAUGACGACGCUCUAGAUGGGGCUGAGAAGGGUAUCCCAUAUCCUCUAAGACCUGAGAGAUCAGCCUUGGAAAUAAGAGUGGAAUAGUACCAGCUCUGUGUAGGCGCUUCCUAUGCACCUUCUCCUCAAAAUAGGUAAGAGUAGCCAUGACUAGAUGGUGGGGUCCAAAGUAGAAUCCCUCAGAGAUGCGGUAAAGCGCAUCUAAGAUAGCACCUCUCCUCUGGACGACAUGCUGGAGGGGAAAAAGAUUGGUGCGGAGCACCAAAUCGAUAAGUAACAUCUGUGGAGGAAGCUCCCUCCUCAAAAUGGUCCUACCAGUGACUCUACCUCCUGAUAAGGUAGACACCAUGUCGGGCUCUGAAUACUGAGACCAAUGCCGGAAGGAACCAAGGUCCUCAAGGAUAGGCGGAAAAUGCAUAGCGGCGGCUAUAUCUCGGGCCUCUAAAAUACCAUGCUGGCCAUCAAUAAAAAAAUGAAUGGCUAUGGGGUCCGGACGCCUCUAGUAGUCAUAGUCUGGUAGAAAUCUAAGACUACCCUAGGGUAAUAGAAGGACCUAGGAGUCAUAAAUGGCUCGAUGUGGUACCUCUACAGAAGGCGGUAUGACUCCUCUAGCUCUGGUAAUAGGCGGAGAGUCUCAUGCUCCAUACAGAUCUCGUAGUGAAAUGGCCUAUCUCUGAUAUCCGUGUUGCCUGGGAGGGGUGGCCCUACUAUCAUAGGCCGCUUGAGGACCUCUGCUAGGUGUGAAGGGCCUGGGAUAGUAGAUAUUGGAGGUGAUGGAGGGGCUCUGGAGGACUCGCCUGGUCCUGAAAUCCUAGUCCUCUUAGGUGAAAGACUGCUCACAAGGGGUGGCAUUGGUGCCCUGGAAGACCCAGAUGAUCGUCUGGUCCCGUACCCGUGCUGAGUAGAGGGAACUGGGGUCUGGGCAGGCUGAGAUGGUGUAGAACGACCACCUCUCUGUGAGUGGGCCCCACGCUGACUAGCUGAAGAGGAUGCCCCCCGUGUCUGUGCCAUGGUAUAAAUACUGAAAUAAGACUGAAAAGCACGAAAAAUAGAGCAUCCCUGAUUACUACCAAAAAGUGCUAUUUUGUAGACCUAAUCAUAAUGGUUUUAAGCACCUUUGAGUAGUAAUCAUAUUCAUUUAACCCAAUUAAUUCAUUAAGGUCCUUAGUAAUUGGUUCUAACCAUUUUGUGGUAAGUUUUGGUGCUUUUUGAUAGCUUUUUGCUCACCAAAGCAAUCCAAGAAUGAGGGAGAGCUGUAUAUAGUUCAUGGCAAAGCUUUUGAAAGCUCAAAUUCAUGAAGAAACCAAGCUUUGGAGCUCAAUAACCCUUUUCCAAAGUCGUUCAAAGUAUGCAAGGAAAGAACAAACGGAGAGAGGAAAACAGAGUAAGGAAAAUAGGGGACAGCAACUGCAGCCUUCCUUCGCACUUUUAGAGCACUUUCCGAAGUUCAUUUUCUACAUGCUAUAUACCAUUUCAAAGCUCAGGAAGUCAAGAAUCUAAAGCUUCAAACCGUGUACGAUUUGGAGCUGAAAUGAGGAAGAUAUGGCCUUAGGAAGACAACUGCAUCAAGCUAAAGGACAAUUUCGCACCUUGCGAAAUUGGAACUCCAACGUGCGAAAUUUAAAGUGGAUGGCAGCUGUGUAGUUGCGGUGAAGCCCAGCAUGCGAAGUUGAUUUUGCAACUUGUGGACUUGGAUCUCAACAUGAGAAAGUGAAUUCUAAGUUGCGAAAUCAACUUGCGAAAUUUUCGCAAGUCACCAUGCAACGUGCGAAACUGGGAUAUUUAUGCCGACUCUUUUUCUUCUGAUAUUUUUGUGUCUAAAUUUCCAUUUUCUCCUUGUAUUCAGCCACUCAUGUAAUUCCUUAGCUAUGAAGUAUCCAAGGAAGGGUAAAUUACCUUCCUAUAUAAACUCUCUUGUAAACACUGAAAAAAGGACUCUCGGGGAGCUUUUUCCAAGAGACCAACUUAUGUAAAUUUUACACUUAGUGAAAUACAGAGAUCUCUUUUGCUUUCUUUUUCUCUCUACUAUUUUCUUUUUCUUGGAAGCCAAACAGCCUCUGAGGAUGUUUUCCCAGGGGAUGAGAGGCUAAACUUAUAGUUUCUUGGAGUGAAGGAAGCUAGGUGAAAAGUCCAGAUGAAAAGGUGGAAAGCUUCCGUGCAUUAAAUUCAGGUAGUUGGAGUUCAUAAAUGGCUUCUAAAUCCAAAGUUUUGCUUUAAAUCCCUUAGAAUCACUUUGAACGGCCAAUACAUGGUAAGCUUCAGGUCUCUGUGGAUGCUUAUUGCUAGAUCCAUAUCAGUCCAUUAGUUAUCAUGUACGAGCCAUUGGAAAGUGGUUCAAGGUGAAGACCCAUAGUGUCUUAAGCCAUUAAUGGACCUUGACUAUCAUUUCUAUUGACUUUUUAUAGAUUAAAUCUUCAUUGUUAAACCUAUACCGGUUCGGGAAAUAACUAUAGGUUAAAUCCCCAAUGCGAGGAGAAAAAUCCGGAAUUUCCACUUUGCAUUCUGAACUUGAUCCUAGCAACCCUUAGCUCCGGGAGACUUUCUUUCUUCCAUUUUUACUUAGUUCUAUGUUAGUUUAAUUUCAGUCACCACUUGCAAAACAAAUUUUAUUUUCUUUUAAACUUCAAGUUUAUGAUAAAGGAAAUCAUCAGACUCAAUUUCUAAUCUAGAGUCUGUCACUGAUAGAGUGAAAACCCAUCCCUGAGUUCGACCCUAGAGCUGCUAUACUAUAGUAGCUUUGCUACGCCAGUAUAAGGUCAUAGGAUUUAUAAAUAUUUUUUUAUUAAAAGACCCGACGGGGUAUGAAUAAAUCCCAGGGGUAAAGUGUCAAAAAUAUAGUUGAAAUGGUAACCAGUGCAAAAUUUGCAAGGCAUGAAUAGUGGUUGCUAAAUUUGGCAACGGGCACUAUUCACGCAACACUAAUCACAGGCACUAUUCAUCUUCUUUUCCAAUGCUUACUUUGAAUUUGAGUUUUCAUUUUUAACGGUUUAAAGUUCAGAAAAAGGGUAUGGUUUUAAUGGAAACAUGAUUCUAAAUGCAAUGGAGUAAGUUUGGGAGCCUAAAACACAUUGCAAGAUAGAGAUUUUUGCAAAAAUGGUGGCCGGCCAUGUGGGUCUUUGAUUUGAAAAAAUGGAUUUUUGAAAUGGUUUUAAUGGAUGAAAAUGCAUGUUUAUGGUCCCUUAAACAUUGAAAUGACAUAAACAAGCAAUUUAAGGAGCCAAAAAUGGAGAAAAAUGAAAAAUUAUUCACCUUGGAACAAUGAAGCACGCGGCCUAGAGAGGAAAUGCAAGGGGAAUAGUGUUUUAUGCAUGAAAAAUGAAGUUGAGAAGGCUUUAAAAAGGGUUUUUGGCCAUGAAUUUUUUUUUGAAAAUUUGUCUAAGUACGGGGAUGAACUGAGGAGUGUUAAAACUACAAAAUUGAAGUUUGAAAAUGAAUUUAAAAAGAAUCAAAUCCUUGGUAAGCAUGAAGAAAAAAUUUCGCAAGGUGAAAAUUCACCUUGCCAAAUUUUCGCACUGGCUACUCCCCUUAAAAACCAAUUCCGAGAGGUUGUAAAUUGCAUCUUGCCAAAAUGUGCAUUUCGCAAGGUGAAAAUUGACUUGCGAAAAUUUUCGCACUGGUUACUCCUUGCGAAAGUGCAAUCCCAGCGAAAGUGCAAUCCCGAGAGGUCGUAAAUUGCAUCUUGCCAAAAUGUGCAUUUUGCAAGGUGAAAUUCACCUUGCCAAAUUUUCGCAACUCACUUUUUGAGUUGCGAAAUGGGCUUUUAAGCUUGGACUUAGAUAUAUUUCUCCCCUAUUUCACCUUUCUCUCCACAUUUAUGAGCUUGUGAGCUUUUGUACCUGCUAUUGGACAUCAAAGCUCCAUUAAAAACAUUAAAAAAUCAAAAUCAAAACUAAGAAACCUAAACAAAAUAUGUGCAAAAGUAUUAAAAAUGCAAAGUAAACAAGAAUGUAAUACUAAAAUUAAAACAAAAAGAGAUGAGCACUUAACUUUUCAUGCUAAGCUCAUCAACUUACCACACUUUCUCAAGGAUGUGAUGGGUCAUGGAGGAUGAGUACCUCCUUGUCACGGGAAAAUGGCUCGAUGUAGGGUUUGAGUCUUUGCCCAUUUACCUUGAAGAUCUUUGCACUUUUUGAAUUGAGUAACUCAAUUACUCCAUGUGAGUGUACUUGGUGGAUGACAAAAGGCCCUACCCACCUUGAUUUGAGCUUUCCCGGAAAUAUGUGAAGCUUAGAGUCAUAUAGCAAGACUCUUUGUCCCUUGAAAAAUUCUUUCUUGGUCACCAACUGAUCAUGCCAUCUCUUUAGCUUUUCCUUAGCUAUUUUUGAGUUGAGAUAGGCAUCAUUUCUCAAUUCCUCAAGCUCAUUCAAAUCCAAACUCCUCUUUAGCCUAGCCUUUGUUAAAUCCAUGUUGAGCUUUUUAAUGGCCCACCAUGCCUUGAACUCAAUCUCAACGGGAAGAUGGCAAGCUUUGCCAUAAACAAGACAGUACGGUGACAUCCCAAGGAUAGUCUUAUAAGUCGUCCUAUACGCCCAUAGGGAAUCAAGGAGCUUAAACAAACCAAUCUUUCUUAUUGGUGUUCACCACCUUCAUCAAGAUGUUCUUAAUUUCCCGGUUGGCUAGCUCUACUUGGCCACUCGUCUGAGGAUGAUAAGGUGUAGCUACCUUAUGCUUAAUUCCGUACUUGGCCAAAAGAGCUUCAAAGGGCUUGUUGCACAAGUGAGUGCCUCCAUCACUGAUGAUUGCUUUAGGCACUCCAAACCUCGAGAAGAUGUUUUCUUUUAGGAACUUGAGAACCACUUUGUGAUCAUUGGUUCCACAGGGUAUAGCUUCAACCCACUUUGAAACAUAAUCAACUCCUACCAAGAUGUAGGAGUGGCCAAAAGACAUAGGGAAAGGUCCCAUGAAGUCUAUGCCCCAAACAUAAAAAAGAUCCACUAUCAAGAUGGGGUUCAAAGGCAUCAUGUUUCUCCUUGAAAGCUUGCCUAGUCUUUGGCACUUAUCACAUCCUUUACUUACCUCAUGGGCAUCCUUAAAAAGUGAGGGCCACCAAAAGCCCGAUUGAAGAACUCUCAUUGCCGUCUUUUGAGAGGCAAAGUGGCCUCCACAUGCAUUCCCAUGGCAAUGAGAUAGGAUCCCAUGCUUCUCUUUUUCAGGCACACACUUCCUUAUAAUUUGGUCUGCACAAUACUUGAAGAGAAAAGGCUCCUCCCAAUAAUAUGCAUGGACCUUGGCAAAGAAAUUCUUCUUGUCCUGAGAGCUCCAUUCACUUGGUAUUUCUCCCGUGACCAAGUAAUUGGCAAUGUGUGCAAACCAUGGCACUUCCUCCACAAGCAUCAAGGAUUCCUCAGGGAAAUCAUCAUUUAUGGGAAGUCCAUGGGUGUCAUGAGCGAUGUUGAGCCUUAACAAGUGGUCAGCUACCACAUUCUCAAUACCUUUCUUAUCUCUGAUCUGGAGGUUGAACUCUUGAAGCAAAAGUAUCCACCUAAUCAACCUAGCCUUGGCAUCUUGCUUGGUUAGCAAAUACUUCAAAGCUGAAUGAUCCGUGAAUACCACAAUGGAAGACCCUAUCAAAUAAGCUCUGAACUUAUCCAAAGCAUACACCACAGCAAGUAAUUCCUUCUCAGUGGUGGUGUAAUUCCUUUGAGCAUCAUUCAAAGACUUGCUUGCAUAGUAGAUCACAUAAGGUUUACCAUCUUCUCUUUGUCCCAAAACAGCCCCAAUGGCAUAAUCACUUGAGUCACACAUCACUUCAAAUGGCAACUCCCAAUUUGGUGCUCUCAUAAUGGGCGCUGAUGUCAAGAAUUGCUUAAGAAGCUCAAAACUCCUUUGACAUUUAUCAUCCCACUCAAACUUGGCAUCCUUCACCAAUAAUUCACAAAGAGGUUUGGCAAUCUUGGAAAAAUCCUUUAUAAACCUCCUAUAGAACCCGGCAUGCCCAAGGAAUUGCCUUAUUCCUUUUACAUUGGUGGGAGGUGGCAACUUCACAAUUAGUUCCGCCUUAGCUCUAUCUACCUCUAUACCCUUCUUUGAGAUUACGUGCCCAAGAACAAUACCUUGAUUUACCAUAAAAUGGCACUUCUCCCAAUUGAGUACUAGGUCUUUCUCUAUGCAUCUUUUCAAAACAUCUUCAAGAUGUGACAAACAAUCCUCAAAAGAAGUCCCAUACACAGUUAUGUCAUCCAUGAAGACUUCCAUGAUUCGUUCAACCAUGUCACUGAAGAUGCUAAGCAUGCAUCUUUUGAAGGUAGCAGGAGCGUUGCAUAAUCCAAAAGGCAUCCGCCUAUAAGCAUAGGUGUCGAAUGGACAAGUGAAGGUAGUCUUCUCCUGGUCCUCCACAUCAAUCUCUAUUUGAAAAUACCCGGAAUACCCAUCCAAGAAGCAAUAAAAAGGAUGCCCAGAUACUCUCUCAAGGACUUGAUCCAUGAAAGGUAAAGGGAAGUGAUCCUUUCUCGUUACUGUGUUCAACUUCCUGUAGUCAAUGCACACCCUCCAACCAGUUGUGAGGUGUGUGGACACUUCAUCUCCAUUUUCCCCCUUGACUACGGUUAUCCCGGACUUCUUUGGAACAACUUGGGUUGGACUCACCCAAGUGCUAUCUGAAAUGGGGUAAAUGAUGCCCGCUUGAAGAAGCUUCAACACUUCAGCCCUUACUACCUCUUGCAUAUGAGGAUUCAAUCUCCUCUGUGGCUGACGAGUUGGCUUAGCUCCCUCCUCCAUAUAAAUAUGGUGCGUGCAAAUCAAUGGGCUUAUCCCCUUCAAAUCAGAAAUUUGCCAUCCGAUGGCCUUCUUGUGCUUUCUAAGGAUUCUUAGAAGAUUGUCCUCUUGUGAAACGGUUAAAGAAGAAGAAAUUACCACUGGGGCUUUAUUGCCUUCCUCCAAGUAAGCAUACUUCAACUCGGCAGGAAGGGUCUUCAAUUCAAGCUUAAGGAUUGCAUCCUUAGCUUCUUUCAUCUCUUCCUCAUCCUUGAACAAAGGGAGGAUCACUGGCUUUUGUCUCCAGUUUGACAUAACAGCAUUCAUUCCCAUGGGUUCAGCUAACCCAUCAUUAAGAUCUUCAUGGAUUUCAUCUGGAUUCUCUUCAAACUAAUCAAGCAUACUCUGAUUACAAUGCUCCUCCACCAGGGUAUCUAUCAUACACACUUCUUCUAGGCCCUCAUCUUCUUCAGGAUGGAUGUGCUUUUGACAUAGAUGGAAGAUGUUGAGUUCCAAUGUCAUAUUCCCAAAAGUGAGUUGCAUGACCCCGUUCCUACAAUUGAUGAUUGCAUUGGAUGUUGCAAGGAAUGGUCUUCCAAGGAUGAUUGGAACAUAGUUGAUCCCUUUGACAAUGGGAUCCGUAUCAAGCACCACAAAAUCUACUGGAUAGUAGAAUUUGUCAACUUGAACCAAUACAUCCUCUAUUACCCCCCUGGGGAUUUUCACUGAUCGGUCAGCUAAGGAUAGGGUGAUCGAUGUUGGCUUGAGUUCUCCCAACCCCAGGUCCUUGUAUAUAGAGUAUGGAAGCAAGUUAACACUUGCCCCCAAAUCAAGCAAUGCCUUCUCCACUUGGGUUCCUCCAAUAUUGACUGAGAUUGUAGGACACCCCGGAUCUUUGUAUUUGAUUGGAGAGUUGCAUUAGAUUAUAGCACUCACUUGCUCGGUUAGGAAGGCUUGCUUUGUAACAUUGAGUCCUCUUUUCACAGUGCACAAGUCCUUCAAAAACUUUGCAUAUGUGGGUACUUGCUUGAUCAUAUCAAGUAAAGGAAUAUUCACCUUCACUUGUCUUAGCACAUCAAGAAUCUCAGAAGCAUUCUUGAUUGGUUUCUUCCCACGCAAGGCUUGAGGAAAUGGAGGAGGCAUGUGCUUCUUCAUCAUGCCUUCCUUUAAAAGAAUUUGAGGUUCCUCAUCCAUGCUAGGAAUGAUGCUUUCUUUCAUCUGAACUUCCUUACCCUUUUGUUCUUUCUUCUUUUCUUCUUUUCUAUCAGCCUUGUCUUCGUUGGCUUUCCUCUGAUCAUGCUCCGGCUGAUGCACUUCCUUACCACUUCUCAAAGUGAUAAUAGCUUGCACGUCCCUCACCUUUGAAGAAUCCUCAUCUUUAGAUUCCACUUCAUGUAUCCCCUUAGGAUUUUGGUGAGGCUGAGAGGGAAACUUCCCUUUCUCAUUGACAGUGUUCAAAUUUGUAAGCCUUGAGAUGGAAUAUUGGAUGUUGUCAAUUUUCUGAGACAACUCAUUAUGCAUCCCAUCUAUCUUCUUGUUCAAUGUACUCUCUACGUUGUCAAUCUUCUGAUUUAGUUGAGAGUUGAUGGAUUUUUGGUCACUCACAAAGUCACCCAUAACCUUGCUAAGGCUUAUGAGUGCUUGCUCAACUGAGGAUUGACCUUGACUCUGUUGGCUUGAUUGGGCUGGUGACUGAUAUGGGUUUGGCCUUGGCUUCCAUGCAAAUUUUGGGUGGUUCCUCCAGCUAGAGUUGUACGUGUUGCCAUAGGGAGCAUUUGAAUUUGGCUUCCAUUGGCCAAUCAGGUUAGCUUGUUCCUCGAACAUUUCUCUUGCUGCUGGAAUGGUGGGACAUUCUUCCACCAUAUGUUCAAAUGACUAACAGAUGGAGCAAGGAUUGGCUUGUUGUUGAGGUUCUGAAAUAGCUUGGACUUCGUGAACUUUUCUCAACUCCAUUUCCUCCAUUUUUCUAGCCAUGGCAGCUACCUUGGCUUUCAUCUCCAUGUCUUCACUCAGAUUGUACAUCCCCCCUCUUGACAUUUGCUGAACUGGCCUCUUCCCCAUUUCUCUGUUAUUGGGCUCAUCCCAUCCACGGGAAACCUCUGAGACAUAACUUAGGAAAUCCAUAGCCUCCUCAGGGUUCUUGCUCAUGAAAUCACCCCCACACAUUGUCUCCAAUAUCUGCUUCAUUGAAGAUGACAUGCCAUCAUAAAAAUAGCUCACCAACAGCCAUGUAUCAAAGCCGUGGUGAGGACAUGCAUUGAUGGCCUCCAUAUACCUCUCCCAGUAUUCAUAAAAUUUUUCAUUCUCACGUGCUGAGAAGUUGGAGAUUUGUCUCUUCAAUCCAUUUGUUCUAUGAGUAGGGAAAAACUUCUUCAAAAAAUCAGCUUGAAGUUCUGUCCAUGUUCUUAUGCUUCUCGGCCUCAAGGAAUUGAGCCAUAUCUGGGCUUUGUCCUUUAAUGUGAAUGGAAAGAGCUUCAACCUCAUAAGCUCAAUAGCUGUUCCCCCUUCUUGAAAAGUAUUGCACACAUCUUCGAAUUCCUUUAUGUGCGCAUAUGGAUUUUCACUUUCCAUCCCAUGGAAAGUAGGAAGCAGAGGCACGAUGUGUGGCCUGAUAAUCAAUUGCUUUGUAGGAGGAAUGAUGCAAGAUGGUGCACUCAUCCUCGGAGGGUGCAUCCUGUCCCUCAUGGACCUAUACAAGUUCGGAUCAUUCUACUGCCCGUGUUGUGAAUGUUGAUCCUCUGGCUGAUUCUCCAUGACUUCCAAAAUAAUCUCUAAUUCAGUAGCUCGUGGAGUCUCUAUCCGCACUAACCUUCCCUCUUGGUCUCUAAUCCAAUAGGGCAUGCACGGAUUCAGCUGGAACAAAACAAAUAAACAAAACAAAGAAAAAGAAAAAAAAAACAGAGCAUGCGGAAGGAAAAACAAAGUAUGAAAAAUAAACUAAAAAUGAAAGUUAAAAGCUAAAAGAAACUUAUCUAAACUAAGUUAAAAAUGUUCUAAAACUAAAAUAAAAAGUUAGUAAAUGAAAAAUGAGAUAGAAUUCACCUCACUCAUGAGAAGUCUCACAAGUUACCUCCGGCUGAUCUAUUCACAGUGAAGUAGCACCCCUCCUCGGCAACGGCGCUAUUUGAUAACCCGACUCUUGGUAGCUUGGCAUGUAAGGGUAUCAACAAAAUUUAUACCUAAGGUCCUUACACUAAAGUAGCAAAGCUAUUAUAGCAUAGUGGCUCUAGGAUCGAACACUGGGAAGGGUUUUUACUUUAACUGGUGAAGUUCGGAGGAUGGAGUGAACUUUUCUUAAUAAAAAUUAGGUUAAGAUGAAAACAUAAAAAGAUGAAGGCGUUGUAAACUAAACUAACAUGAAACUAGGUUAAAAGAUGGAAAAAGAAGUUUCUCAGAGCUUUGGAUAGCCAUGCUUAACUCAUUGUGUAAAAAUGGAGAUUUUGGGACUCUUCACCUUGAGUUGGGGAAGCAACUAAGGUGAUGCUUACUUCCCGAACCGGUAUGAGUUUAACAACUGAGUUUUAGUCCUUGAAAACUUACAAAAAGGGUAGCUGAACCUCAUAAAUGCUCUUUUAUUGGUAUAGGUCAUCUCCUCGACUUGCAAUACAAUGGCUUGUAGGAGAUAAUUAAUGAACGUCAGUGGAUCUAACAAUAAGAAUCCACUGAGACCAAAAGGUUAUCAAGUAUUGGC
RNAcentral lists this long non-coding RNA (13577 nucleotides) under Vitis vinifera (wine grape). RNAcentral describes it as "long non-coding RNA (VVIN_LNC004444)". Lineage: Eukaryota; Viridiplantae; Streptophyta; Magnoliopsida; Vitales; Vitaceae. The record is from RNAcentral.